Schistosoma haematobium is the source of this 45-nucleotide non-coding RNA. Lineage: Eukaryota; Metazoa; Platyhelminthes; Trematoda; Strigeidida; Schistosomatidae. The record is from Rfam.
AUUCAGCUGACAGAUCCCAAAUAGGACGAAACGCGAGUCCUGGAU